Solea solea (common sole) is the source of this 583-nucleotide long non-coding RNA. RefSeq lists it as uncharacterized. The transcript has 3 exons. NCBI's taxonomy places the organism in Eukaryota, Metazoa, Chordata, Actinopteri, Pleuronectiformes, Soleidae. The record is from RefSeq and is a predicted model, not a curated record.
CUUUCACACAUCAUCAACCACACAGAUCCUGACUCUCUCAGUCAGGCUUAUGUGUGUGAGCAUUUAGAGCAGUGAUGUUACUGUGGCCAGACAAGAGGACACGUCUUCAAAGAGAGGAAGUGCAAAUGAUCAAGGAAAGAAAAUGUCUUAUUCUCAGUACUUCAUCACAUGUAUUCACUGUUACAUAUUUAUGUUGUGUAUCAUUUCAUUUUAGGAAAGGCCCAACAAGCCAAACAGCAACCAUGUGACUCCAGUUGUCUGUUAAUUCAUGUCAUUACUCAGGAUGAAGGCGUGCUGCAAUACCUUAAGAAAAUCAUCAGAGGCAACAUUGUGUCUACCUGGGCCAAGAAGGAGGACAGGGUCUUCAGUCUUUUUGAAGAUGAUGACCAAGUGGACCAGGUGAUGCCCUUGUUGUCUGGAGUGGUUGAAAGUCCACAGACAGAUAAGAAGUCUGCAGAUCCUGUGGCUUUAAUCAUACAGAGAGAUAACUCAGCUUCAGAGCCACAUAUCCAAGGAAGCAAGGCUCAAACUGGAAAGCCUUAGAGAGUGAGGACUUUGUCGUUAGGCGUCUGUAAUCCCUGAC